Molecule: ribosomal RNA, 269 nt
Filed under: uncultured bacterium
Lineage: Bacteria
Description: partial 16S ribosomal RNA
Rfam family: Bacterial small subunit ribosomal RNA
Source: RNAcentral
AUGGCGACCGGCGCACGGGUGAGUAACGCGUAUCCAACCUGCCCUUUACUAUGGGACAGCCCGUCGAAAGGCGGAUUAAUACCGUAUGUUGUCAUGUUGAUGCAUUAUUUUCAUGACCAAAGGCUUCGGCCGGUAAAGGAUGGGGAUGCGUCUGAUUAGCUUGCCGGCGGGGUAACGGCCCACCGGGGCGACGAUCAGUAGGGGUUCUGAGAGGAAGGUCCCCCACAUUGGAACUGAGACACGGUCCAAACUCCUACGGAAGGCAGCAG